This is a long non-coding RNA of Dunckerocampus dactyliophorus (ringed pipefish), 2754 nucleotides long. RefSeq lists it as uncharacterized. Lineage: Eukaryota; Metazoa; Chordata; Actinopteri; Syngnathiformes; Syngnathidae. The transcript has 3 exons. The record is from RefSeq and is a predicted model, not a curated record.
UUGUGGAGCAGGUCUGGCAGAACCUCCGGCUCAGGGAGCGGAGGAGGCUUGAAAGCAGCCUCAGUCUUCUUCAGUUCUUUUUCCUCUUGCUCCUCCUUGACUGAAGAAAAAUAAUUUGAAUUGCUUGUUUGGAUUUUCCAACUUUCACACAGCAUAAAAGUAUAUACAAGUAUUAUAAAACAUGAGGGACUGGAUAUGAAAGUAGCCAAGCAGACUAGCUGUGUUGUGGUAGGCGAGUGUGAAUAUUUCGUGAUGAUGACCCCUUUUUUGGUUUGGACUAGCAAAGGGCUGCAAUUGUUAACAUUAAACUAUAGAGUGCAGGAUGCAAAAAUCAAAGUACUUUGUACUGAAUGCUCCAUGGGGUCGUCCUCAUCCAUCUUCUCAAUUUUAAUAGUAGGAGUACUAAAUUCCUCCUUGAAACCCCAUCCUGACACAGCGAGAGGAAGCUGAACUGGGCAGCUCCUCUGUUCACUCCUCAGGAAAGGAUCAUCUAUGAACUAAAAACAAAUGUAACACAUCAUUACAAUAACUACAAAGCAAACACCACUCGAUGCAUGUGUUUAUCAAGUGCAACUCACGUUGUCUCGAUCCAGUUGGCGUAGGAUCUCUUUGGUCUCUUCCUCAGUUUCUCUCUUCUCUUUUUUGAUAUUGAUGAUGUGUGAGAGUCCCGUGCUUGGGGCAUCUCGCUCACUUUCAUAGCCGACUGUAUAUUAAAAACAGGGAAGUUACUCAAUAUAUCAUUUAACCAAAAAUACGGUGUACGUCACACCUUUUCUUCUCAUGGCCAUUUCUGCAGGGCCCUGCUCAAAAAUAGAGUGGGACUGGAUGAGCUCUGCGCGACCACGGCCUCUGCCCCUAUCUCUUGGACCUCUGCCUCGGGUUGAAUCCUUUCUCUCCCUUCUUGGCCCGCCUUCAUCCUUGGUGCUUUCAGGCAAAAUGCAUAGUAACAAAACUUUUGCAAAUUUGCUUUUAGAAUACAGGAUUGCUUGUGAACUUACUCUUCUCUAACUUUACGGCCGAUGAUGUUGGGUGUAAAUGUUUUCUAAGGGAAAGAAACAGUGGAAAAAAUGUAUGUAAAUGUAUCUCAACUAGGGACUUGGUUCUGAGAGACGUUUAAUUCGAUAUAUUUCCAAUAUACCUUUUUCACUCCCCCCAAGGUGAGGUCUCUCGAACGCAUUGCAGGGAGGCGACCAGCAGAGAUGGUAGCAGGUGGUCUGCGGCCCAUCAGUUGGCCCCUGCCACUCCCUCCCGGGGGUGGCAUGCGAUGACCACUGGGAUCACCGGCACCUGGAUCAGCCAUCCUAAGCACACACAAAAAAAUGCAGUCAGUGAUCACCACUGCCAUGUUUCAAAAUUGCCGUUUUUGUGACUCACUUCAACUGGACGUUCUUCCUGACAUAACCGUGACAUUCAUUCAAGGAUUCUCUGACUGGCUGGGUGUAAUAUGAAUAAAAAGGAGUGUUUAGAUGCACGAAUGAAGUCUUCAGCAGUCUUCAUCCACUGUAGAACACAUACACCAAUGGGAAGGUGACAGCGCGCAGUGACACGACGGGAAAGAAAGCAAUGGCAAGCGAUUGUGAGGUCUGAUUUUUUUUUAGAGGAGGCAUUUUUGUGAUGCAAAUGUAUUACUCUUUUGAACGCAUAUUGUUAUGAGAACCAAAACUUGAACCAAAACCAACUAACCGGAACAAAGUUCCUCAUCACCGAAAUCCGACCAGAAUUCAGUUUAUGGGACAAAGUGGGAGGUAAGUGGGGAUAAGUCACUGUUGAAAAGGAAAAAAUUGCCACUAAGGAAAAGGAUCGCCACAAAACACGUCAAAAAUGCCACCUCAUGGUCACAACGAGGUACAGCAUUUUAUAAUUUACAGCAGUAAAAUACGAAAACAAUGUUGCUAUAAAUGUGUUCCCUAGGGGAGCUGGCGGGCGGCCAGGAAGUGAUGCCAGGGGUUCAGAGUUGAGUUUUAGUUUGGUGUGGGUUACGGCCGCAACAGUAGCCUGUGUUUAUUUGGGAUUUUUAUGAGGAAUUAUUGUGCCUGUUGUGAGAUAAUUCAUACCUGCAUUAAGAGCCUCUUGCUCUGGCGAUCUGUUCCUCGUCUCACCAAACAUUACAGUAACAUUACUGACACCAGUGUACAAUACUUCAUAUCAUUCUGUGUCUUUGAAUGCAUCUUCUAUAAUAUUUAUUUGUAUUUUAGCUCAUUUAGCCAUUUUUAUGCUUGAAAAUGCUUAAUUUAGACAAAUGUACAUAACAUUUGCUUCACUAUGAAUUUUUGACUGAUAAUACACAGUUUUCAACCAUAACACAGCAUGGUUUAUUAAUAUAUUUUUGAAAAAUUGUGAUAAAGUGAAGCCACAAAAUUCUAGGCAAUGGACGACUGUAUAUAAAUGUUAACAAUGUAACAAUAUGAACAACCUAACAAAAACACACACGGAUCCGAUACUCAUACUACCCUUGGUAUUGAUAUUAUCUUAAUAUAAAAUAUCAACGCCAUUACGCCAGUAUCAAGCCGAUCCUCAGACAACCGUUGGUAUCGAUACUAUCUUCAUGUUUUGCCCUCCUCUACUCACACAGAGUUCCAGUACAGUACCAUAUUGUUUGGUAGUCCUUGUUAAAAAUAACGUUUUUAUGGAUGUAUCAGGAAGUACAGGCAGUGAACCAAUGCAUUGCAAUUGAUGUGAAACGGAUGGGGUGUAAGAUUAAAUAAGAUGUGCUUCUUGCUACUCCCUUUGCCAUGUAGAAUUGUGAAUUGUAUG